This is a non-coding RNA of Callithrix jacchus (white-tufted-ear marmoset), 715 nucleotides long. Lineage: Eukaryota; Metazoa; Chordata; Mammalia; Primates; Cebidae. The record is from RefSeq and is a predicted model, not a curated record.
AUGGCCCUCUUCACUGUCCUGGAACCUUCAACAAAUAUUUUCUCACCUGUUACCCCUAAGUAGCCCAGGCUGUGAAAGCCACAAGCUGCAAAACGGGUAUAGUCUCAGAGCCUUGAAAGGGACCUGAAGUGCUUGCUUAGAUGGCUGCCGGCUGCAGUGUGUUUGUUCACUGGUUUAUUCCUGCAUCUAGGCAUCCACUCCCUCAACAAACACUUGAGUGGGCGAGGCAUUGUCUCGCACUGGGAACACAGAGCUGAACGGAAAUGUGGUUCUCACCUCAUGAAGUUUACUGAUUCUACCAGGCAACCAGCCCUCUCUGAGCUCAUGAAUCUUCUGGAUGCACUGAUUUCAUGGCUUCACUCUCCGGCUUUUACAUCCCCUCAGGAUCUUCACAGACGUAAUGACGUUAAAUGGAGGUCCUGUUGGAUCUGGGUGGGCUCUCAUCUGAUGACUGGUGUCUUUAUAAGAAGAGGAAGAUUUGGAAGCAGACACACACGAAGGGCAGACAGCCAUGUGGUGAAGAGACAGAGAUUGCAGUGAUGUGUCCACAAAACAAGGAAUGCCAAAGAUUGCUGGGACCACCAGAAGCUGGAGUGAGGCCGGGAAGGAUCCUCCCCUAGAGCCAUCAGAGGAAGCAUAUCCCUGCCAGCACCUUGAUUUGCUGACUUCUGGCCUCUAGAAAUGUGAGAGAAUAAAUUUCUGUUGUUUUCUGUCA